GAACAUCUUACGGAUGGCCCAGGGCUCCAAAGGCUCGUUUCCUAAGUGAGAGAGAGCCUGGCUGAAGCUGUAUUACCAUUCAUUCUCCAGCCUCCGAAGUCUCAAAGCAUCACUUCCACCAUACUCUAACUGUCAAGACAAACACAAAGGCCCAGAAAGAAGAAUACACUAUCGAUGUUCCUUUUAAACAAGUAUUUGAGUAAAAGCGAUGUUUCCAAUGUGUGUCAGAAAGUGAAUACUUGUAUAUUUCCGCACGGUUAGAGCUGAGCUUUCCGAGCAAAUUUUACUGGGACCCGGUUGAAAGACAGGUCUUGGAAGUGAAAUGAUGACUGACUAGAUGACAUUACAUGUAAAUGGAAUCAUACAAUAUGUGAUCUUUUGUGACUGGCUUCUUUCACUUAGCAUAACGUUUUCAAGAAACUGCCAGACUGUCUUCUGAAGUGGCUAUAAUAUUUACACUCCCAUCAGCAGUGUAGAAGGGGUCUCACUAUGUUGUCUGGAGUGCUGUGGUGGAGUGGAGUGGCUAUUCACAGCUGAGUUUGCAGAGUAAACCACUACCCUGAAAUCUGGAAAGGCAGGUGCACCCACAGAUCCUCAGCUGAGAUCCAAUUACCUGAAAUAGAAGCUGCCAUUAGGAACACUUAAAAGAGCCUGUUCUGCUGGGACACAGAAUCACUUGCUCCAUCUCAUACAUUGAUGAUGAUUAAUUUGUAUGUGUACCUUCCAAAAAAGAUGGUUGUGUUUGAAUGGAGGCCUUCUGGACAGGAAAAUUGCAAAGUACAAUUAACAUUUGAGUCUGUCUGAGUCAUGAAGAAAUGGAGAUUACUGAAAAUAAUUCAUUUUGGUAUCUUCUUACAUCCUGAGAGACUAAUCUUUCCAAGUUCAUCUGAGGCUCCUCUUCUCCAUGACAACCUCAUCCAGGGAUUUCUUCCUGUCCUGGUGUUUUAUGACAUGUGGAAGGGGACUGUAGCAGGUGAUCUCCAAAGUCUCUGGAGACUUACUAAUGUGCAUCCUCAUCUCGCUUGUAAGGAUAAUAGCCUUCCUCCAAACCUCACACACUUUUGGAGGAGAUCACUUUUUUUAAAGUGCAUGGAAAUGUUUUGAAACAGUGAAAUCUAUAAUGAUAGGUUUCAUAAUUCUAACAUCCACACCAUAUGAAUCACAUCCUUCCUGAGAUAAUGAGCACACAAUUGCCUGGAUACCUGAAGGAAUGGAGACAGCGGCAGAAAACACUGCAGAGAGGUGGAAACAUCCGUUAAUAUUUUAAAAUCCCAUUACUGCUACCAACAAUAAUAAUGGAUGCAUAGAAAUAGAUCUGGAUUAGCUGAGCUUGAAACAGUCCAUCUCACACACACACAAAAGAAUUUCAGAUACAGUGAACCCACAUGUUGAAGCUUUCUAGUAUAAUAAAAAUUUCAACUGUUCUGUUGAAUCAUCUGCCUGAUUGGAGGCUACAGAAAAGAUGUCAUCUUAGGAGUGCUUGCUCUGAGUGAGGCUCAUCUUCAAAUCUGAAUGACCACAAGGAGAUUUGAUUAUACAUGUGAACACCUCAGAAGGCACAGCCCACCCAGAAGGCAGACAGGUCAGGCUGCUUUUUCUUCAUUGCUUGGAUUCAAUCCUCCGGGCGGCUCAGGCUCAAACAUAACUUAAGCAUGAUUAAACUUUAGAAGAAGCUGCCAGGAAGACUGUGAAAUCUUCAUGCCCAAGGAUCCCUAAAAUUAGGAGCAACAACCACUUGGCUCAGACGGUUUAUGGAGGCAAAGGUUUGGAUGGGAUUAGAGAUUUCUAAAUGUGAGUUCGUGUCCUCUGCCAGACCACCUUACUUCCACCAUUCCUCAGCAAAUCAAGAAAAACAGGAGAAAAGACAUGCCUUUCCAUAAGUUAAAUCUAUUCUGUUUUAAUUCUAUAUUAUAUCUGCUGUACAACUUCUUUUGUUUGUAACACCAUAUUGUUGCUAGUAACUGGAAAUUAAUUUUCACAUGCCUCAGCUUAGAAAAAUAAAAAGCAGCCCUGCA
Molecule: long non-coding RNA, 2015 nt
Filed under: Homo sapiens (human)
Lineage: Eukaryota; Metazoa; Chordata; Mammalia; Primates; Hominidae
Description: long intergenic non-protein coding RNA 635
Source: RNAcentral